This 468-nucleotide ribosomal RNA is filed under the name uncultured bacterium. RNAcentral describes it as "partial 16S ribosomal RNA". It matches the Rfam family "Bacterial small subunit ribosomal RNA", at positions 28 to 507 of the family's 1533-position model. The record is from RNAcentral.
GACGAACGCUGGCGGCGUGCUUAACACAUGCAAGUCGAACGGAAAGGCCCUGCUUUUGUGGGGUGCUCGAGUGGCGAACGGGUGAGUAACACGUGAGUAACCUGCCCUUGACUUUGGGAUAACUUCAGGAAACUGGGGCUAAUAUCGGAUAGGAGCUCCUGCUGCAUGGUGGGGGUUGGAAAGUUUCGGCGGGUGGGGAUGGACUCGCGGCUUAUCAGCUUGUUGGUGGGGUAGUGGCUUACCAAGGCUUUGACGGGUAGCCGGCCUGAGAGGGUGACCGGCCACAUUGGGACUAAGAUACGGCCCAGACUCCUACGGGAGGCAGCAGGGGGGAAUAUUGCACAAUGGGCGGAAGCCUGAUGCAGAAACGCCGCGUGCGGGAUGACGGCCUUCGGGUUGUGAACCGCUUUCGCCUGUGACGAAGCGUGAGUGACGGUAAUGGGUAAAGAAGCACCGGCUAACUACGUG